CAGGCCUAACACAUGCAAGUCGAACGCUGGAGACCGACUUCGGUUGGUCGAAGGAGUGGCGAACGGGUGAGUAAUACAUAAGCGACCUGCCCACGAAGACCGGGAUAAUCCCUGGAAACGGGGACUAAUACCGGAUAGGCAUUUGAGAGGCAUCUCUAAAAUGUUAAAGAUUAAAAGCACUGGUGGAUGGGCUUAUGGCGCAUUAGCUGGUUGGUGAGGUAACGGCCCACCAAGGCGAUGAUGCGUAGCCGGCCUGAGAGGGUGAACGGCCACAUUGGGACUGAGACACGGCCCAGACUCCUACGGGAGGCAGCAGUAGGGAAUUUUCGGCAAUGGGGGAAACCCUGACCGAGCAACGCCGCGUGAGUGAAGACGGCCUUCGGGUUGUAAAGCUCUGUUGUAAGGGAAGAACGGUACGGAGAGAAUCUGUAAGUGACGGUACCUUACCAGAAAGCCACGGCUAACUACGUGCCAGCAGCCGCGGUAAUACGUAGGUGGCGAGCGUUAUCCGGAAUUAUUGGGCGUAAAGGGUGCGCAGGCGGCCUGUUAAGBUUAAGGUGAAAGCGUGGGGCUUAACCCCAUACAGCHUUAGAUACUGGCAGGCUAGAGUACUGGAGAGGAAAGUGGAAUUCCAUGUGUAGCGGUAAAAUGCGUAGAUAUAUGGAGGAACACCAGUGACGAAGGCGGCUUUCUAGCCAGUAACUGACGCUGAGGCACGAAAGCGUGGGGAGCAAAUAGGAUUAGAUACCCUAGUAGUCCACGCUGUAAACGAUGAAUACUAAGUGUUGGGGAAACUCAGUGCUGCAGCUAACGCAAUAAGUAUUCCGCCUGUGGAGUAUGCACGCAAGUGUGAAACAUAAAGGAAUUGACGGGGGCCCGCACAAGCGGUGGAGUAUGUGGUUUAAUUCGACGCAACGCGAAGAACCUUACCAGGCCUUGACAUCCCUUGCGAAGUGCUGGAGACAGUACGGAGGUUAUCAAGGUGACAGGUGGUGCAUGGUUGUCGUCAGCUCGUGUCGUGAGAUGUUGGGUUAAGUCCCGCAACGAGCGCAACCCUUGUCUUCAGUUACCAAUAUUAAGUUAGGGACUCUGAAGAGACUGCCGGUGAUAAACCGGAGGAAGGUGGGGAUGACGUCAAAUCAUCAUGCCCCUUAUGGCCUGGGCUACACACGUACUACAAUGGCUGUUACAGCGAGACGCAACACGGCGACGUGGAGCAAAUCUCUUAAAGGCAGUCUCAGUUCGGAUUGAAGUCUGCAACUCGACUUCAUGAAGUUGGAAUCGCUAGUAAUCGCGGAUCAGCAUGCCGCGGUGAAUUCGUUCCCGG
RNAcentral lists this ribosomal RNA (1327 nucleotides) under uncultured rumen bacterium. RNAcentral describes it as "bacterial SSU rRNA". It matches the Rfam family "Bacterial small subunit ribosomal RNA", at positions 43 to 1377 of the family's 1533-position model. The record is from RNAcentral.